RNAcentral lists this ribosomal RNA (253 nucleotides) under uncultured bacterium. RNAcentral's name for it is "partial 16S ribosomal RNA". It matches the Rfam family "Bacterial small subunit ribosomal RNA", at positions 524 to 776 of the family's 1533-position model. The record is from RNAcentral.
UACGUAGGGUGCGAGCGUUGUCCGGAAUUAUUGGGCGUAAAGGGCUCGUAGGCGGUUUGUCGCGUCGGGAGUGAAAUCCACUGGCUUAACUGGUGGCUUGCUUUCGAUACGGGCAGACUGGAGGUAUGCAGGGGAGAACGGAAUUCCAGGUGUAGCGGUGAAAUGCGUAGAUAUCUGGAGGAACACCGGUGGCGAAGGCGGCAUCCUGGACCGAUACUGACGCUGAGGAGCGAAAGCCAGGGGAGCAAACGGG